This 440-nucleotide ribosomal RNA is filed under the name uncultured bacterium. Its description in RNAcentral is "partial 16S ribosomal RNA". It matches the Rfam family "Bacterial small subunit ribosomal RNA", at positions 338 to 795 of the family's 1533-position model. The record is from RNAcentral.
CCUACGGGUGGCAGCAGUGGGGGAUAUUGCACAAUGGGCGAAACCCUGAUGCAGCGACGCCGCGUGUGGGAUGACGGUCCUCUGGAUUGUAAACCACUUUCCUCAGGGACGAAGAUGACGGUACCUGGGGAGGAAGCUCCGGCUAACUACGUGCCAGCAGCCGCGUUAAUACGGGGGGAGCGAGGGUUGUCCGGAGUUACUGGGUGUAAAGGGAGCGUAGGGGGGGAUGCAAGCUGGGUGUAAAACCUACCGGUUAACCUGAUAAUUGCAUUCGAAACUGCAGCUCUUGAGUGCAGUAGAGGCAGGCGGAAUUCCUAGUGUAGCGGUGAAAUGCGUAGAUAUUAGGAGGAACACCAGUGGCGAAGGCGGCCUGCUGGGCUUUUACUGACGCUGAGGCUCGAAAGUGUGGGGAGCAAACAGGAUUAGAUACCCGAGUAGUC